Molecule: ribosomal RNA, 253 nt
Filed under: uncultured bacterium
Lineage: Bacteria
Description: partial 16S ribosomal RNA
Rfam family: Bacterial small subunit ribosomal RNA
Source: RNAcentral
GACGUAGGGGGCGAGCGUUGUCCGGAUUUAUUGGGCGUAAAGCGUGCGUAGGCGGCUGCGCAAGUCGGGUGUGAAACCCCGGGGCUCAACCCCGGAACUGCAUCCGAUACUGCGUGGCUAGAGGUAGGUAGGGGAGAUCGGAAUUCCUGGUGUAGCGGUGAAAUGCGCAGAUAUCGGGAGGAACACCAAUGGCGAAGGCAGCUCGCUGGGACGGUACUGACGCUGAGACGCGAAAGCGUGGGGAGCAAACAGG